CUGAAGGGUUAUUGUAUUAUAUUCAAGAUGCUUUCAAUUUUUUUCCAGAUUUUGUUUCAGAAAUACAGAAGCCACUUCUGACCUAAUUGGUCAAAAUGCUGUUCCUUGGGAAAUAGCAUGGAAUGUCUUCUUUUCAAGGCAAAUGAUUUUGGGGGCUGAUGAGAGAGCUAGAAAGGGUCAUUCUGGUAGAGGAAAUAUUUUUAUCUGGGCCUCAGGAAAUGGUGGUCUGGCUAAUGACUGCAGUGGUGUGGAUGGUUAUGUGAACAGCAUUUACACAGGGGCAAAGGAUGCCAACAUAUACCUCUGCCCCACAGCUUCUGGUCUACAAGAACUACUCAGCAUCAGUGGCCACCUAGAUGAUCCAGCGAGGAAGGAGUGUGGAGGCUUCUAUCCUGAAAAAGACCUUCAAUGUGAAGCGAGGGCUGUGUCAGUUCCAGUCAUUUUCUGCCUUUCUAGCAUGCUUGCAGUUGAAAUAUGCAGAACACUGAGCAUCCUUCUGUUAUCUCAAGACCGGUAGGCAGAUUCUGGGCCAUAUCGGUCCUUCCCAGGGCAAGGCUAGCAGGAACAAGCUGAAAAUUAGGAUGAACACCUGCUUCCUGAGGUUCUGCUUGCUGGUGGCUGUGAGGGGCAGCAUCUCCAUGGAGCAAUCCAAGCUUCCACCCUGCAAACCUGGAGGAGCACUAAGGAUUAAUGUAGCCCAGGUCAGCUAUCCAAAGACCUUAUAUGAAGGUACCAGCCUGUUACAAAAUUACUCUAAGCAAUAUUCUUUUCCUCCAUAUAUGCUCUGUGAUAUAUGAAGUAACGACAACUGUGCCCUUCCAAGCUUUCACUUUUCCCUAGCACUCUGUAAUUCUUCCACAUACUUGCCUGCAGCAACGGCAUCACCAACGGCUUCUGGAGCAAGAAGUUAUAGUAUUGCAGAGCAUAGCCAUAUCCGCACAGAUCUUGGGACACAAUUCAGCUUCUUGGUCCCCUGCUACCAGAAGUCCCACAUCAGUAAACCUCACAUAAGUUACAUAAACAUAACGGAGAAGAGGUCUUGAUAUCAGAUCCGCACUAUGCUCCUCAAAGCAGGACCUGGUUGGCACUGAGAGAUGCCUUUUCCAGGAGAGCAGGCUCCCUCAGUAGCCAGUUCAAAGCAGCAGCUUCACUAAGGUAUUUUACAGGACUAUCUUUCACUUUCUGUUGACUAGAUUAGAAGCCUAACAAGACUAACUUUCUACCUGUGGCACUUCAUUUAUGUAUCUAAAUUUAGACACUGUGAAGAGCCUUAUAAUUUUACUUGUUUAAGGAAGAAUUUUGUAAUUUUGUUCUGGUCGCCAUCUUCUUUUAGGAUGAAAUUCACCCCUCUGCAGAAACCCAGUGCAAGGCUGUGAGUGAACCUCUCCAGUCCCUUGCAAGCUCUAAUUCAAAGGUUGUUCCAAAACAGAGCAUACCCCACAUAAAGUCCAGUUCAGGUUCAGCCUUCUAAUUGUAACAUUGCCUUGGAAAAAAAGGUCUGAACCUGUAGGGAUACACAGGGUUUAGCCUGACCCACUGCGUAGGAAUGAAUUGUCCUGCUUGUUACUUCAACCUAGUCAAGAGCUGCGAUCUUGAAAAGAAAAUUCCGUGGGAAAAUUUUAUUUCAGUCAAGGGGAAAAAAUCAGGAGUUAGGCCUCCAAAAAUUAUAAAGUGUUACGUUAAUUGCUUCUUUUCACUUGUCACCUUCUCGAUUUGAGCUUUUACAGUUCAUAUUUUUGAACUUUCCUCUGCAGUCCAAACCAUUAGGAACCUCUUUUUUUUUUUCUUUUCCUUACUGAUAACAGUGAUUAUCAGGUAAUAACAGGAUUUUUGAGGCUGCAGCAUUAAAAAAAUUGAUUGUUGUAAAAAUGUCUGAUGAAAUCACAAGUCCUGGCAACAUUAUCUCCCUAUAAAGUGUCUUUCUCUUUUCACAUAUUUAUUUGAAGCAAUUUCUCAAAUGAGACGGCCUUUUUUUUUACAUGUACAAAAGCUUUUGGGGGCUAGGAAAAAAGCAAGGAUGAACUCAGACCAUAGAUGAAAAUGUGGAGUGAUUGAUCAUGUAGCAUUCUAUCAAUGUCAAAAAUUAUUUGUCUGAUUCAUAAAAUGUUAUCUUAUCACCAUACAAAGAUAUAUGACAUGUCUUUUGAAACUGAAGCAUCAAUGUGAUAGAUUCCAAAACUUUAUCUCCCUAAAUUUACACUUGUAAAAUGGCACGCUCAAAUUUUCAAAGUGACCUAAUUAAGAAUACUAGGAACAAAUGCAGAUACUUAAUAAAUAAAAUAGGUUGGAUUUUUUUUUUUUAAUU
RNAcentral lists this long non-coding RNA (2305 nucleotides) under Struthio camelus australis. RNAcentral describes it as "lncRNA (ENSSCUG00000008152.1)". Lineage: Eukaryota; Metazoa; Chordata; Aves; Struthioniformes; Struthionidae. The record is from RNAcentral.